CCUACGGGAGGCAGCAGUGGGGGAUAUUGGACAAUGGGGGGAACCCUGAUCCAGCGACGCCGCGUGAGUGAGGAAGUAUUUCGGUAUGUAAAGCUCUGUCAGCAGGGAAGAAAGAAAUGACGGUACCUGACCAAGAAGCCCCGGCUAACUACGUGCCAGCAGCCGCGGUAAUACGUAGGGGGCAAGCGUUAUCCGGAAUUACUGGGUGUAAAGGGAGCGUCGACGGUUAAGUAAGUCUGGAGUGAAAGGCCGGGGCGCAACCCCGGGACUGCUCUGGAAACUAUUAAACUUGAGUGCAGGAGAGGUAAGCGGAAUUCCUAGUGUAGCGGUGAAAUGCGUAGAUAUUAGGAGGAACACCAGUGGCGAAGGCGGCUUACUGGACUGUAACUGACGUUGAGGCUCGAAAGCGUGGGGAGCAAACAGGAUUAGAUACCCCAGUAGUC
RNAcentral lists this ribosomal RNA (443 nucleotides) under uncultured bacterium. RNAcentral describes it as "partial 16S ribosomal RNA". It matches the Rfam family "Bacterial small subunit ribosomal RNA", at positions 338 to 795 of the family's 1533-position model. The record is from RNAcentral.